UGCAAGUCGAGCGCACCUUCGGGUGAGCGGCGGACGGGUUAGUAACGCGUGGGAAUAUGCCCAGAUCUACGGAAUAGCCUCGGGAAACUGAGAGUAAUACCGUAUACGCCCUUCGGGGGAAAGAUUUAUCGGAUUUGGAUUAGCCCGCGUUGGAUUAGGUAGUUGGUGGGGUAAUGGCCUACCAAGCCGACGAUCCAUAGCUGGUUUGAGAGGAUGAUCAGCAACACUGGGACUGAGACACGGCCCAGACUCCUACGGGAGGCAGCAGUGGGGAAUCUUAGACAAUGGGGGAAACCCUGAUCUAGCCAUGCCGCGUGAGUGACGAAGGCCCUAGGGUCGUAAAGCUCUUUCGCCAGGGAAGAUAAUGACGGUACCUGGUAAAGAAACCCCGGCUAACUCCGUGCCAGCAGCCGCGGUAAUACGGAGGGGGUUAGCGUUGUUCGGAAUUACUGGGCGUAAAGCGCGCGUAGGCGGACUUUUAAGUUAGAGGUGAAAUCCCAGGGCUCAACCCUGGAACUGCCUUUAAUACUGGAAGUCUUGAGUUCGAGAGAGGUGAGUGGAAUUCCGAGUGUAGAGGUGAAAUUCGUAGAUAUUCGGAGGAACACCAGUGGCGAGGGCGGCUCACUGGCUCGAUACUGACGCUGAGGUGCGAAAGUGUGGGGAGCAAACAGGAUUAGAUACCCUGGUAGUCCACACCGUAAACGAUGAAUGCCAGACGU
RNAcentral lists this ribosomal RNA (719 nucleotides) under uncultured Alphaproteobacteria bacterium. Its description in RNAcentral is "bacterial SSU rRNA". It matches the Rfam family "Bacterial small subunit ribosomal RNA", at positions 56 to 823 of the family's 1533-position model. Lineage: Bacteria; Pseudomonadati; Pseudomonadota; Alphaproteobacteria. The record is from RNAcentral.